GGGUCUGUAGUCUAGCUGGUUAGGAUACCGCGUCGACAUCGCGGUGAUCAUGAGUUCGAAUCUCAUUAGACCCA
Molecule: transfer RNA, 74 nt
Filed under: Candidatus Nitrosopumilus sp.
Lineage: Archaea; Thermoproteati; Nitrososphaerota; Nitrososphaeria; Nitrosopumilales; Nitrosopumilaceae
Also listed under: 3 other names
Description: Nitrosopumilus sp. tRNA-Val
Rfam family: tRNA
About the family: Transfer RNA (tRNA) molecules are approximately 80 nucleotides in length. Their secondary structure includes four short double-helical elements and three loops (D, anti-codon, and T loops). Further hydrogen bonds mediate the characteristic L-shaped molecular structure. tRNAs have two regions of fundamental functional importance: the anti-codon, which is responsible for specific mRNA codon recognition, and the 3' end, to which the tRNAs corresponding amino acid is attached (by aminoacyl-tRNA synthetases). tRNAs cope with the degeneracy of the genetic code in two manners: having more than one tRNA (with a specific anti-codon) for a particular amino acid; and 'wobble' base-pairing, i.e. permitting non-standard base-pairing at the 3rd anti-codon position.
Source: RNAcentral